AUGUAAUGGCAACUUUCAGUAAUAUAAAAGAAUGUUACAAAUUGAUACUGUUUUGCUGUGAAAAGGACUGUCAUGACUUAAACAUCUGAAAGGCGCGAUGAGGAAAACUUGCCUGCUCUCUGUUAUCGUCUUUUACAACUGAACAGAUACACAAAUUAAACUAACCAACCAAACUAGUAUUUUCUUUUCCUAAUCUUGAAAGUGGACGACCGGAUAACAUCAUCAUCAGCUACCAAUGUUGCCUCAAGAGCUACAAUGGAUUCAGGUUUAGUAAAAUAAGUGAACAGGAGGUAGAUACCGUCCAAGUACGUAUUUGUCUCUCCAGCUUUGUUUUUCCUCCUAAUGCUGUAUGCAAGUGGAAUAACCCCUCGGUUGAAGACUUCCACAUACAUACCACCACCAGCAACCAGCAACUCUUCGUAUUUCUGGGUAAGAGCAAGUCUUUCAUCUUCAGACAUAUCAGGUCUCAAUACCACCAUUGUUUCAUAAGGGCGUAACCCAGGUGGACACUGCGGUUCCUCUUUAUCUUCAACUGCAGAAAUACCCGACCAUGGUGUAGUCGGUGGUUCAUCAGCAUUUCCUCCUCCAAAUCCACCCUCGAAAAACGAGCCCGAAAAUUCUAGAGUUUGGGCUUUCAAGAUUUGCCCAGAAUUGUUGACCCUUUUGGUGAAACCUUUGAAGUUGAAGGGUAUUGAAGGUUUAGAAGAAGAGAGAGUGGAGGUAAGAGAUGGAAGUACUGAUGGAGAAGAAGAAGAAGACGCCAUUCUUGAGGGAGAUAAAGUGGAUAAGAAAGAGGAAAUUCA
Molecule: unclassified non-coding RNA, 803 nt
Filed under: Hevea brasiliensis (rubber tree)
Lineage: Eukaryota; Viridiplantae; Streptophyta; Magnoliopsida; Malpighiales; Euphorbiaceae
Source: RNAcentral